Molecule: Y RNA, 114 nt
Filed under: Prolemur simus (greater bamboo lemur)
Lineage: Eukaryota; Metazoa; Chordata; Mammalia; Primates; Lemuridae
Description: Y RNA (ENSPSMG00000004247.1)
Rfam family: Y RNA
About the family: Y RNAs are components of the Ro ribonucleoprotein particle (Ro RNP), in association with Ro60 and La proteins.
Source: Rfam by way of RNAcentral
GGCUGGUCCGAAGGUAGUGAGUUAUCUCACUUGAUUGUUCACAGUCAGUUACAGAUUGAACUCUUUGUUCUACUACUUUCUCCCCUCCUCACUACUGCACUUGACUAGUCAUAA